CUUAAAUCCCCAAAUGACGACUAGUGUCCAAAUACAGGUGGAAGAAAUGUUUCAAUUUAGUUGGUUUUAAAGGAAGCUAUAUUUCGUUUUGAGACUGGAUUAAGUUGGUGCUUCGUGCCAAGAUUUGGAAACAUUUGAAAGUCUUGGUUUUUUAGACUUAGGGGCUGCAAUGCACUCCUUAAAUCCCCAAAUGACGACUAGUGUCAAAAUAUAGGUGCAAGAAAUGUUNUAUGUUUGGUGGUGACACUGGACUAAGUUGGUGAUUGGUAUCAAGUUUUGGAAAUUGUUGAAGGUCUUGGUUUUUUAGAGUUAGGGGCCGCAAUGCACUCUUUAAAUACCCAAAUGACGACCAGUGUCAAAAUAUAGGUGCAAGAAAUGUUUCAAUUUAGUCGCUUUUCAAGCAAGCUAUGUUUGGUUGUGAGACUAGACUAAGUUGGUGCAUCGUGCCAAGAUUUGGAAAGAUUUGAAAGUCUUUGUUUUUUACAUGUAGGGGCUGCAAUGCACGCCUUAAAUCCCCAAAUGACGACUAAUGUCAAAAUAUAGGUGCAAGAAAUGUUUCAA
Molecule: long non-coding RNA, 561 nt
Filed under: Vigna radiata
Lineage: Eukaryota; Viridiplantae; Streptophyta; Magnoliopsida; Fabales; Fabaceae
Description: long non-coding RNA (VRAD_LNC017480)
Source: RNAcentral